Molecule: ribosomal RNA, 447 nt
Filed under: uncultured bacterium
Lineage: Bacteria
Description: SSU rRNA
Rfam family: Bacterial small subunit ribosomal RNA
Source: RNAcentral
AGAACGAACGCUGGCGGCAUGCCUAACACAUGCAAGUCGAACGAGAUCUUCGGAUCUAGUGGCGCACGGGUGCGUAACGCGUGGGAAUCUGCCUUUCGGUACGGAAUAACUCAUGGAAACGUGUGCUAAUACCGUAUGAUGGUCGCGAGGACCGAAGAUUUAUCGCCGAGAGAUGAGCCCGCGUAGGAUUAGCUAGUUGGUGGGGUAAAGGCCUACCAAGGCGACGAUCCUUAGCUGGUCUGAGAGGAUGAUCAGCCCACACUGGGACUGAGACACGGCCCAGACUCCUACGGGAGGCAGCAGUGGGGAAUAUUGGACAAUGGGCGCAAGCCUGAUCCAGCAAUGCCGCGUGAGUGAUGAAGGCCUUAGGGUUGUAAAGCUCUUUUACCCGGGAAGAUAAUGACUGUACCGGAGAAUAAGCCCGGCUAACUCCGCGCCAGCAGCCGC